GUUUAAUUUAGGCCCUCUGCACACGGAGCGUAUCGUCAUAGACGCGUACAAGAUUCGACUUGCAGUUGACGAUAUGCGUACGCCUGCACAUCCACACACGAAGCGUACUAUAAGCAUACAGAUUUCGUUCAUUCAAGAUGGCAUCCAAUAGUGAUUAUGAUGAUGAUAUAUUUUAUUUUUGUCGUCGCCGAAAAAGGAGGAAAAUAACACGAUUUUGGGUUCAUCCUUAUAUUGAAAGAAAUGUAAAUAGAUUGUUUAUUACUGCUAGGGAAUUAUCAGAUGAUGCAAAAUUUCAAACAUUUUAUAGAAUGACUAAAAAUACAUUUCGAGAACUUGUUCAAAUUGUAAGUCCUUUCUAUUCAAAGACAAAAUAGUAACA
This 379-nucleotide long non-coding RNA is filed under the name Androctonus crassicauda. The record is from RNAcentral. Lineage: Eukaryota; Metazoa; Arthropoda; Arachnida; Scorpiones; Buthidae.